UACAGAGGUCUCAAGCGUUGUUCGGAUUCAUUGGGCGUAAAGGGUGCGUAGGCGGCGCGGUAAGUCGGGUGUGAAAUCUUGGAGCUUAACUCCGAAACUGCAUUCGAUACUGCCGUGCUUGAGGACUGGAGAGGAGACUGGAAUUUACGGUGUAGCGGUGAAAUGCGCAGAUAUCAGGAGGAACACCAAUGGCGAAGGCAGCUCGCUGGGACGUGACUGACGCUGAGACGCGAAAGCGUGGGGAGCAAACAGG
This 253-nucleotide ribosomal RNA is filed under the name uncultured bacterium. RNAcentral describes it as "partial 16S ribosomal RNA". It matches the Rfam family "Bacterial small subunit ribosomal RNA", at positions 524 to 776 of the family's 1533-position model. The record is from RNAcentral.